Molecule: transfer RNA, 70 nt
Filed under: Schistocerca piceifrons peruviana
Lineage: Eukaryota; Metazoa; Arthropoda; Insecta; Orthoptera; Acrididae
Description: tRNA-Val
Rfam family: tRNA
About the family: Transfer RNA (tRNA) molecules are approximately 80 nucleotides in length. Their secondary structure includes four short double-helical elements and three loops (D, anti-codon, and T loops).
Source: RNAcentral
AGAUAUAACUUAUUAGGAAAGUGUUUCAUUUACACUGAAAAUUUUUCUGUGCAAAUCAGGAUAUCUUGAU